UUUCAAAUACAAAUAGCGGAGGAAAAGAAACUAACUAGGAUUCCCUUAGUAACGGCGAGUGAACCGGGAUGAGCUCAAAUUUAAAAUCUGGCGUCUUUCAGGCGUCCGAGUUGUAAUCUAUAGAGGCGUUUUCCGCGCCGGACCGCGUCCAAGUCUCUUGGAAUAGAGUAUCAAAGAGGGUGACAAUCCCGUACUUGACGCGACAACCGGUGCUCUGUGAUACGUUCUCAAUGAGUCGAGUUGUUUGGGAAUGCAGCUCUAAAUGGGUGGUAAAUUCCAUCUAAGGCUAAAUAUUGGCGAGAGACCGAUAGCGAACAAGUACCGUGAGGGAAAGAUGAAAAGCACUUUGGAAAGAGAGUUAAACAGCACGUGAAAUUGUUAAAAGGGAAACGAUUGAAGUCAGUCGUGUGAAAGGUAUUCAGCCGUCUCUGGCGGUGUAUUUGCCUUUCACGGGUCAACAUCAGUUUGAUCCGGUAGAAAAAGGCGGGAGGAAGGUGGCACCCUCGGGUGUGUUAUAGCCUCCUGUCAUAUGUGCCGGACCAGACUGAGGAACGCAGCUUGCCGCAAGGCCGGGGUUCGCCCACGUACAAGCUUAGGAGCUGAUCU
RNAcentral lists this ribosomal RNA (606 nucleotides) under Vishniacozyma victoriae. RNAcentral's name for it is "eukaryotic LSU rRNA". It matches the Rfam family "Eukaryotic large subunit ribosomal RNA", at positions 34 to 632 of the family's 3401-position model. The record is from RNAcentral. Lineage: Eukaryota; Fungi; Basidiomycota; Tremellomycetes; Tremellales; Bulleribasidiaceae.